Cercocebus atys (sooty mangabey) is the source of this 280-nucleotide long non-coding RNA. RefSeq lists it as uncharacterized. The record is from RefSeq and is a predicted model, not a curated record. Lineage: Eukaryota; Metazoa; Chordata; Mammalia; Primates; Cercopithecidae. The transcript is spliced from 2 exons.
CCUCCUCUCGGCUCCCCACCCUGGACUCCUCUCCACUGAGCGCGCCCUCCUCGGCGGGCGGAGACUGCAGUGCCGGGAGCUAAGGAAAGAUCUGAUACCUGGAGGUACAGCAGCCAUCCUGUGACCAUAAGGAGGACACCAGCGCAUUAAGAAGGGAAAGCUAAGAAGAUACAGAGGGCAAGGGUCACUGACAACAUGAUCAAGCCACUCUACCAGGCCUUACCUUCCUAUUCCCUGACUUCUUGUUGAAAGAAACAAUAAAACUUCUCAUUUUUUUUAA